RNAcentral lists this ribosomal RNA (515 nucleotides) under uncultured bacterium. Its description in RNAcentral is "bacterial SSU rRNA". It matches the Rfam family "Bacterial small subunit ribosomal RNA", at positions 125 to 674 of the family's 1533-position model. The record is from RNAcentral.
CGUACCUUUUGGUUCGGAACAACUGAGGGAAACUUCAGCUAAUACCGAAUAAGCCCUUACGGGGAAAGAUUUAUUGCCGAAAGAUCGGCCCGCGUCUGAUUAGCUAGUUGGUAGGGUAAUGGCCUACCAAGGCGACGAUCAGUAGCUGGUCUGAGAGGAUGAUCAGCCACACUGGGACUGAGACACGGCCCAGACUCCUACGGGAGGCAGCAGUGGGGAAUAUUGGACAAUGGGCGCAAGCCUGAUCCAGCCAUGCCGCGUGAGUGAUGAAGGCCCUAGGGUUGUAAAGCUCUUUUAACGGGGAAGAUAAUGACGGUACCCGUAGAAUAAGCCCCGGCUAACUUCGUGCCAGCAGCCGCGGUAAUACGAAGGGGGCUAGCGUUGCUCGGAAUCACUGGGCGUAAAGCGCACGUAGGCGGACUCUUAAGUCGGUGGUGAAAUCCUGGAGCUCAACUCCAGAACUGCCUUCGAUACUGGGAGUCUCGAGUUCGGGAGAGGUGAGUGGAACUGCGAGU